Molecule: long non-coding RNA, 305 nt
Organism: Homalodisca vitripennis (glassy-winged sharpshooter)
Lineage: Eukaryota; Metazoa; Arthropoda; Insecta; Hemiptera; Cicadellidae
Exons: 2
Source: RefSeq, a predicted model, not a curated record
AACGAACUCUAUAGAGCUUGAGAGUGAUAUAAAAGCUACCUCUGCUACUCGACCACUGAAAGACUUUCUUGAAGAUCAGUUUCAGAAAUACCAUCAGCCAAACAGCUAGAAUGUGGAAUUGGUCUCUACUGAUGGUUUUCUUGAUCGCAUUCAUAGCCAGCGCAGCUCAUGGAAAAGACAUUCCUCCAUAUUACACUCCACCCUGGUUUCCUGGUUAUGCGCUCGAGUAAGACAACGAAGCAUAUGACUACAGAGUGUGAUGUUCCUAGUAACUGAAAUUAUAAUAUUAAUGAGUGAAAUUGAAA